This is a long non-coding RNA of Triticum aestivum (bread wheat), 398 nucleotides long. RefSeq lists it as uncharacterized. Lineage: Eukaryota; Viridiplantae; Streptophyta; Magnoliopsida; Poales; Poaceae. The transcript has 3 exons. The record is from RefSeq and is a predicted model, not a curated record.
GUGCCAUCCCUGAUGCAGAGUAAUCCAUUGGAGUUUUUGCGAUUCUUGCUCUAUUCGGCUUUGAGUUCGAGUUCGCUAAUCUUGUGUUCUGUUUUCUCUGUAUUAAAUAAAGUGGUUGAGGAUAUUCAACAAAUUGGUGUCGCAGGUUCUCAGUUCAUGGAAUCAUUGGUUGGAUCUUCUUCCAAUGCCACAACACGUGGAUGGACACCGUAGAAAAAAUAUGUGAGGCGUUUUGCUGCAAUCUAUCCAUACUGCCCAGCGCAUGUUAUAGCAGCCAAUUAAUAGAAGCUAUAACUACAAAAGUAACAGCAGCCUGUUGGUACUCUUUUAUGAUGUCUACUUCCGACUGAAUAUUGGUUGGCAUUACAAAGCUAGGCACCUGAGCUAUUUACAGAAGG